Molecule: ribosomal RNA, 253 nt
Filed under: uncultured bacterium
Lineage: Bacteria
Description: partial 16S ribosomal RNA
Rfam family: Bacterial small subunit ribosomal RNA
Source: RNAcentral
UACGGAGGGGGCAAGCGUUGUCCGGAAUCAUUGGGCGUAAAGCGCGUGUAGGCGGCUCGAUAAGUCCGCUCUGAAAGCCCGGGGCUCAACCCCGGGAGGCGGGUGGAUACUGUCGAGCUCGAGUCCGGAAGAGGAGUGUGGAAUUCCUGGUGUAGCGGUGAAAUGCGCAGAUAUCAGGAGGAACACCAAUGGCGAAGGCAGCACUCUGGGACGUGACUGACGCUGAGACGCGAAAGCGUGGGGAGCAAACAGG